GACGAACGCUGGCGGCGUGCCUAAUACAUGCAAGUUGAGCGCUGAAGGUUGGUACUUGUACCAACUGGAUGAGCAGCGAACGGGUGAGUAACGCGUGGGGAAUCUGCCUUUGAGCGGGGGACAACAUUUGGAAACGAAUGCUAAUACCGCAUAAAAACUUUAAACACAAGUUUCAAGUUUGAAAGAUGCAAUUGCAUCACUCAAAGAUGAUCCCGCGUUGUAUUAGCUAGUUGGUGAGGUAAAGGCUCACCAAGGCGAUGAUACAUAGCCGACCUGAGAGGGUGGUUGGCCAAAUUGGGAAUGGGACACGGCCCAAACUCCUAAGGGAGGCAGCAGUAGGGAAUCUUCGGCAAUGGAGGAAAGUCUGGCCGAGCAACGCCGCGUGAGUGAAGGAGGUUUUCGGGUCGUAAAAGUCUGUUGGUAGGGAAGAAAGUUGGUGAGAGUGGAAAGCUCAUGAAGUGACGGUAACUACACAGAAAGGGACGGCUAACUACGUG
This 497-nucleotide ribosomal RNA is filed under the name uncultured bacterium. Its description in RNAcentral is "partial 16S ribosomal RNA". It matches the Rfam family "Bacterial small subunit ribosomal RNA", at positions 28 to 507 of the family's 1533-position model. The record is from RNAcentral.